RNAcentral lists this ribosomal RNA (356 nucleotides) under uncultured bacterium. RNAcentral's name for it is "bacterial SSU rRNA". It matches the Rfam family "Bacterial small subunit ribosomal RNA", at positions 46 to 395 of the family's 1533-position model. The record is from RNAcentral.
GCCUAACACAUGCAAGUCGAGCGGCAGCACAAGGGAGUUUACUCCUGAGGUGGCGAGCGGCGGACGGGUGAGUAAUGCCUAGGGAUCUGCCCAGUCGAGGGGGAUAACAGUUGGAAACGACUGCUAAUACCGCAUACGCCCUACGGGGGAAAGAGGGGGACCUUCGGGCCUCUCGCGAUUGGAUGAACCUAGGUAGGGAUUAGCUAGUUGGUGAGGUAAUGGCUCACCAAGGCGACGAUCCCUAGCUAGUUCUGAGAGGAUGAUCAGCCAUACUGGGACUGAGACACGGCCAGACUACCUACGGGAGGCAGCAGUGGGGAAUAUAGCACAAAGGGGGAAAACCCUGAUGCAGCCAU